This 300-nucleotide long non-coding RNA is filed under the name Homo sapiens (human). RNAcentral describes it as "HSALNT0327516". Lineage: Eukaryota; Metazoa; Chordata; Mammalia; Primates; Hominidae. The record is from RNAcentral.
GGGGCCUCUUUAACGGCUCCCCAUGAAAUAAUCAUUCAUUAUGUCACCAGGAGGGAAGAAAGGGAGUAUUUUGUGAAGCUGUCCCAUUCAAAGCCACCCCCAGAGGCCCGGAGGAGACCACAAAGCUGCGAACACAGCCGGGACCUGCCCACUGACACACUGAAGAGUCAACACGAUUCAGGAAAGCACUUUCAAAGAGUGUUUUAUCUUGGACAGAUAAUAUUCCGUUUUGUUUCUGAGAGGCAAUGACAAUCUCUAGUUCGAUUGUAAAACUAUUUCCUUCAAAUAUACAUUUUUAUC